UCUUCAUUAUCCAAAACAGAAAGUAACCAAAUGUAACCCUAAAGCCCUUCAAAGAACAGCUCAUCCACACCUAUACACAACGUAAUUCCCUCUCUCUCUCUCUCCCAUUUCAGGCAAAGUCACAUUUCCUUUACCUAAAUACCAGUUCUUUUAUUGCCAUUUUAGUGCAAGAAUUACUUUUCCAGACCCAUGCCUAUCUCUUUUUUCCUAUUUCAUGCUCCCAAACAAACCCAAAUCUUGAACCAUCAGAAGGGGUUCACUAUUAUGAGCAAAGGUUGAAGCUCUGUUGACCAAAUCACGUGGAGAUCAAGCUCAAUUGUGGCUCCAACUUUCAAAAUUUGAAUGGACAUCUCAAUCUUCAAACGGCUCUUCCAAAUUCCCUCUCAAUCAAGCUCAAACCCUAAAUAUUUGGGGUUCUAUAAAUGGAACACUAUUCCUCAUUUCUUACAAUGGUUUUUGGACACUGAAACAACUGAUUUUUCAAUUCACUUAACUUAAAACAAGAAAAAUUUCUUGAGUUCACUAAGUUUAAAAAAUUUCUUUUGAUUCAUCUCUUACGUUGAGUUGAAAUCAAAGGUGAUCAAUUCGAAUCUUGUCGCCCCCGUCGCUGCAUCGGAAAAAGAAGAUUCAUGAGAGCUUUAGCAAUAAUUUGGUAUGAAGAACGUUACACCAUCAAAUACAAGAUUGUUCUCCAAAACCUUAGAAACUGAAAAGAUAUUGGUGCACCCAGUUGUAAACAAGGUUUGGAUUCUUUUCAGCUGGUACUUUUAUUUUAUUCGCUAUAAUUUGCACAAAUUAUUUGUCUUAAUUAGAAUGAAGAGU
Lycium ferocissimum is the source of this 822-nucleotide long non-coding RNA. RefSeq lists it as uncharacterized. The record is from RefSeq and is a predicted model, not a curated record. Lineage: Eukaryota; Viridiplantae; Streptophyta; Magnoliopsida; Solanales; Solanaceae. The transcript is spliced from 3 exons.